Molecule: ribosomal RNA, 492 nt
Filed under: uncultured bacterium
Lineage: Bacteria
Description: partial 16S ribosomal RNA
Rfam family: Bacterial small subunit ribosomal RNA
Source: RNAcentral
AGUGAACGCUGGCGGUAGGCCUAACACAUGCGAGUCGAACGGCAGCACAGUAAGAGCUUGCUCUUACGGGUGGCGAGUGGCGGACGGGUGAGGAAUACAUCGGAAUCUACUUUUUCGUGGGGGAUAACGUAGGGAAACUUACGCUAAUACCGCAUACGACCUACGGGUGAAAGCAGGGGAUCUUCGGACCUUGCGCGAUUGAAUGAGCCGAUGUCGGAUUAGCUAGUUGGCGGGGUAAAGGCCCACCAAGGCGACGAUCCGUAGCUGGUCUGAGAGGAUGAUCAGCCACACUGGAACUGAGACACGGUCCAGACUCCUACGGGAGGCAGCAGUGGGGAAUAUUGGACAAUGGGCGCAACCCUGAUCCAGCCAUACCGCGUGGGUGAAGAAGGCCUUCGGGUUGUAAAGCCCUUUUGUUGGGAAAGAAAAGCAGCAGGUUAAUACCCCGCUGUUCUGACGGUACCCAAAGAAUAAGCACCGGCUAACUUCGUG